This 498-nucleotide ribosomal RNA is filed under the name uncultured bacterium. RNAcentral describes it as "partial 16S ribosomal RNA". It matches the Rfam family "Bacterial small subunit ribosomal RNA", at positions 28 to 507 of the family's 1533-position model. The record is from RNAcentral.
GACGAACGCUGGCGGCGUGCCUAAUACAUGCCAGUCGAACGAGAGCACCCGGUGCUUGCCCUGGUCAAUCUAGUGGCGAACGGGUGGGUAACACGUGGGUAACCUGCCCAUCAGAGGGGGAUAACAUCCGGAAACGGAUGCUAAAACCGCAUAGGUCUUCGAACCGCAUGGUUUGAAGAGGAAAAGAGGCGCAAGCUUCUGCUGAUGGAUGGACCCGCGGUGCAUUAGCUAGUUGGUGAGGUAACGGCUCACCAAGGCCGUGAUGCAUAGCCGACCUGAGAGGGUGAUCGGCCACAUUGGGACUGAGACACGGCCCAAACUCCUACGGGAGGCAGCAGUAGGGAAUCUUCCGCAAUGGACGCAAGUCUGACGGAGCAACGCCGCGUGAGUGAAGAAGGUUUUCGGAUCGUAAAACUCUGUUGUUAGAGAAGAACAAGUGCUAGAGUAACUGUUAGCGCCUUGACGGUAUCUAACCAGAAAGCCACGGCUAACUACGUG